AGUGAACGCUGGCGGUAGGCCUAACACAUGCAAGUCGAACGGCAGCACAGUAAGAGCUUGCUCUUACGGGUGGCGAGUGGCGGACGGGUGAGGAAUACAUCGGAAUCUACUUUUUCGUGGGGGAUAACGUAGGGAAACUUACGCUAAUACCGCAUAUGACCUACGGGUGAAAGCAGUGGAUCUUCGGACCUUGCGCGAUUGAAUGAGCCGAUGUCGGAUUAGCUAGUUGGCGGGGUAAAGGCCCACCAAGGCGACGAUCCGUAGCUGGUCUGAGAGGAUGAUCGGCCACACUGGAACUGAGACACGGUCCAGACUCCUACGGGAGGCAGCAGUGGGGAAUAUUGGGCAAUGGGCGCAAGCCUGAUCCAGCCAUACCGCGUGGGUGAAGAAGGCCUUCGGGUUGUAAAGCCCUUUUGUUGGGAAAGAAAAGUAGCGGGUUAAUACCCCGCUGUUCUGACGGUACCCAAAGAAUAAGCACCGGCUAACUUCGUG
Molecule: ribosomal RNA, 492 nt
Filed under: uncultured bacterium
Lineage: Bacteria
Description: partial 16S ribosomal RNA
Rfam family: Bacterial small subunit ribosomal RNA
Source: RNAcentral